UGAGGAGCUGACAUACCUGCGCAAGCUUGCACGUCCUUUGCCAACACAUUUUGCUCUAGGUGAUUAUGCUAUUAACUUUCAGACUUCCUACUUGUUAUUCAUUUUUAUUGGUGGUUCCAAAUAACCAUGAUCUUACAGGAUGAUUAAGUAUUAACUGCUUCCGGCACCCUUACCUUCUUAUGCAUACAUCACCUUAAUGUUCCACACAAAAUAAUGUAGAAGCACAAGAAAACUGGUUCUUCAGAUUCCUCGGUAUGAUCCACACCCUGAUAAGGCUCAAUUGUUAAAUCUUUACCAUGAUAACUUGUCCAAUUGUGUCAACCUUCAGGUCCUCUGCAAUUUCUUUGCUACAAAAAAU
This 358-nucleotide long non-coding RNA is filed under the name Hordeum vulgare. Its description in RNAcentral is "long non-coding RNA (HVUL_LNC000628)". Lineage: Eukaryota; Viridiplantae; Streptophyta; Magnoliopsida; Poales; Poaceae. The record is from RNAcentral.